AAUGAACGUUGGCGGCGUGGAUUAGGCAUGCAAGUCGCGCGUGUACCCGCAAGGGGAAAGCGGCGUAAGGGACAGUAAUAUGUAGGUAUCUACCCUGGGGUCCAGGAUAGCCACGGGAAACUGUGGGUAAUACUGGAUGACAUCUCCGGAUCAAAGGUGUGAUUCCGCCCUAGGAUGAGCCUGCAUCCUAUUAGGUAGUUGGUGAGGUAACGGCUCACCAAGCCAAUGAUGGGUAGGGGUGUGAGAGCACGACCCCCGUCACUGGGACUGAGACACUGCCCAGACACCUACGGGAGGCUG
This 300-nucleotide ribosomal RNA is filed under the name uncultured Planctomycetota bacterium. RNAcentral describes it as "bacterial SSU rRNA". It matches the Rfam family "Bacterial small subunit ribosomal RNA", at positions 29 to 351 of the family's 1533-position model. Lineage: Bacteria; Pseudomonadati; Planctomycetota. The record is from RNAcentral.